This is a long non-coding RNA of Cucurbita maxima (winter squash), 1094 nucleotides long. RefSeq lists it as uncharacterized. The record is from RefSeq and is a predicted model, not a curated record. NCBI's taxonomy places the organism in Eukaryota, Viridiplantae, Streptophyta, Magnoliopsida, Cucurbitales, Cucurbitaceae. The transcript has 3 exons.
UCGAGGAGAAUUCAUAUGACUCGCGCGACGCAGAUUCUCCCGGGAAGAUCUCGAUCAUUGGAAUUGCGGACAACGAGGGCAAUGGAACUGGAUCGGCGCUCAUCUUCUUGGGCUCAGGGUUUUCGAAUUCGGUCUCUCUUUUGAUGUGCCUCGCCAGCCUCAUGAUCCCCCCUCCUUUGCUUCUCUCAGGCACUGACGGUUCUCCCCAAGCUCAACCUGAACUACCGGUGAUUUCGUCAGAUUUCUCGAUCAUGCAAUGCAUCGUUGCUCAUUGAUAUUGCCGAAGCAAUGGCGAGAACAAUUACAUAUUGAUCGAUGUAGGGAAGACGUUUAGGGAGCAAGCUCUAAGAUAGUUUACACGCCGUAAGGUUGAAUGGAUUCUGUGCUGUGCAGCCUUUUAGUCCCACAAAUGAAAUCAACCGGACGCCUGUUUGCUUAGAUCAAAAUACGAUGAAAAGGUACUUGUGUGGCUACCUUUCUUUAGAUUACUUAUCGUACCAUCUUACUCGCAAUAAAUUGGCCAUGGAGUUCUUAGCCUUCGUUUUAAAUGUUGAGCAAGCUACUUGUUCAGAGAAUAUUAGAUAGACGAUACGUCUGAUGAUGGAAGAGUUCCUAUUUGGCACUAGAUGUAGAUGCUUCCGACAUCUAUUUUUUCUCUAAGAAAUCAUUUUUCAGAUCGUGUCGUUUUUCUUUUUGGACCUCCCAAUAAUUAAAUGCAUAACAACCAGUGGAGCCAACGUGGUUUUUUUUUUUUUUUUAUAUAUAGAACACUCUUUGUUUUCUCCUUGCUAUCCAAUAACCUCUUAAAGGGUUCCUUGUAACUCGUGUAGCUCUGUGCAAUUAAUCUUCUGGCUAAUAUUCGUUACCAUUCAUAACCAGGUUUGGAAUCAAAAUUUGAACCAAUUGUGGAUGCCAUGUGUCAUUUCACAUCUUCUAUAAUUUGAGUCAAUAGUCUCUACUUCAAAUGUUCAGUCACAUCAGUAAUCCUAAGAAUCGGUCCCUUCACUGUUACUCUCUUCAACUCUUCAAAUGCAGUUUGACACUCUGAAGUCCAACUCCAACUAUUAUUCUUUUUCAAUAGGUCCAUAGGUGGA